RNAcentral lists this ribosomal RNA (492 nucleotides) under uncultured bacterium. RNAcentral describes it as "bacterial SSU rRNA". It matches the Rfam family "Bacterial small subunit ribosomal RNA", at positions 28 to 507 of the family's 1533-position model. The record is from RNAcentral.
GAUGAACGCUAGCUACAGGCUUAACACAUGCAAGUCGAGGGGCAGCAUGAACUUAGCUUGCUAAGUUUGAUGGCGACCGGCGCACGGGUGAGUAACACGUAUCCAACCUGCCGAUGACUCGGGGAUAGCCUUUCGAAAGAAAGAUUUAAUACCCCGAUGGCAUAGUUCUUCCGCAUGGUAGAACUAUUAAAGAAUUUCGGUCAUCGAUGGGGAUGCGUUCCAUUAGGUUGUUGGCGGGGUAACGGCCCACCAAGCCUUCGAUGGAUAGGGGUUCUGAGAGGAAGGUCCCCCCACAUUGGAACUGAGACACGGUCCAAACUCCUACGGGAGGCAGCAGUGAGGAAUAUUGGUCAAUGGACGAGAGUCUGAACCAGCCAAGUAGCGUGAAGGAUGACUGCCCUAUGGGUUGUAAACUUCUUUUAUACGGGAAUAAAGUGAGGCACGUGUGCCUUUUUGUAUGUACCGUAUGAAUAAGGAUCGGCUAACUCCGUG